GACGAACGCUGGCGGCGUGCUUAACACAUGCAAGUCGAACGAUGACGACCGAGCUUGCUCGGUCUGAUUAGUGGCGAACGGGUGAGUAACACGUGAGCAACCUGCCCUUCACUCUGGGAUAACCUCGGGAAAUCGGGGCUAAUACCGGAUAUGAGCUCCUGUCGCAUGGCGGGUGUUGGAAAGUUUUUCGGUGAAGGAUGGGCUCGCGGCCUAUCAGUUUGUUGGUGAGGUAGUGGCUCACCAAGGCGAUGACGGGUAGCCGGCCUGAGAGGGCGACCGGCCACACUGGGACUGAGACACGGCCCAGACUCCUACGGGAGGCAGCAGUGGGGAAUAUUCCACAAUGGGCGAAAGCCUGAUGCAGCGACGCCGCGUGAGGGAUGACGGCCUUCGGGUUGUAAACCUCUUUCAGCAGGGAAGAAGCGAAAGUGACGGUACCUGCAGAAGAAGCGCCGGCUAACUACGUG
Molecule: ribosomal RNA, 467 nt
Filed under: uncultured bacterium
Lineage: Bacteria
Description: partial 16S ribosomal RNA
Rfam family: Bacterial small subunit ribosomal RNA
Source: RNAcentral